This 420-nucleotide ribosomal RNA is filed under the name Edwardsiella ictaluri. Its description in RNAcentral is "bacterial SSU rRNA". It matches the Rfam family "Bacterial small subunit ribosomal RNA", at positions 56 to 470 of the family's 1533-position model. The record is from RNAcentral. Lineage: Bacteria; Pseudomonadati; Pseudomonadota; Gammaproteobacteria; Enterobacterales; Hafniaceae.
UGCAAGUCGGGCGGUAGCAGGGAGAAAGCUUGCUUUCUCCGCUGACGAGCGGCGGAUGGGUGAGUAAUGUCUGGGGAUCUGCCUGAUGGAGGGGGAUAACUACUGGAAACGGUAGCUAAUACCGCAUAACGUCGCAGGACCAAAGUGGGGGACCUUCGGGCCUCAUGCCAUCAGAUGAACCCAGAUGGGAUUAGCUAGUAGGUGGGGUAAUGGCUCACCUAGGCGACGAUCCCUAGCUGGUCUGAGAGGAUGACCAGCCACACUGGAACUGAGACACGGUCCAGACUCCUACGGGAGGCAGCAGUGGGGAAUAUUGCACAAUGGGCGCAAGCCUGAUGCAGCCAUGCCGCGUGUAUGAAGAAGGCCUUCGGGUUGUAAAGUACUUUCAGUAGGGAGGAAGGUGUGAGCGUUAAUAGCGUU